AAAAAAAAACUCUGAAAUUGUUAAGGAUGUUAUGGAAAUCCAAUAACUCCUCGAUUGUCCCUCUGAUCUCAAAUCAAAAUGAAGAUUUGGAGCAAUUUGGUUGGAAACAAUUUGCCACUACUCCUAGGUCCUAAUAGUCAAUAAACAUUUUCCAAAUAAACAUUUUCUAAAUAGCUAAUAUAGAAAGAUUACAAUUCAAGGGAAGAAAGGAAGAAUUUGCAUAGGAGGUGGGAGGAAAACUUUUCCUUCAUAAGAAUGAGAUUGCCAAAAGAAAGAAUUUUGCCCUACGCAAAUUUUAAGUCACCAUUAUCAACUAAUUAGUAAGAACAAAUCCCUAUGUCCCACAGCCAUAAUUCAAAUCAAUCCCUGUGUUAGAGACAAAUUUUCUUUCCUCAGCACUCACUCCCGUUCCCCAGUACAGGAAGCUUUGGGAAUCUCAAAAAGUUUGUCUCCUUGGUCACAUCCAUUGACCCUGUCUUUCUGAGUCAUCGGGAACAGGGUCUAGGCGAAGUUGUAAGUUUAUAGAUGUCGGGAGUGUGGGGCCAGGAAGAUUGAGAAUGAAGGCCAUAGAACCUUAUGCCUCCUUUCUUCCUCCACGCAUUUUUCUAGAAAUAUUAGGUUGAUGGUAAAGGAUUAAAUUAUUUAUUCAUGUUCAUGUUUUAGGAAAGUUUUCCGAAUAAUGUACAUGUGGCAUAUAAUAAAACAAGAGAUCAACAAGAAAUCUAAAAAUAGUAUCUCUUUUACUGCCUUGCUCACUGUUCCUAAGGAGAAUGCAAGCUUACAUUCUUAGAACUCACAGUUAUCUUAGCCUGAAAAUUGGAAUGCAUGAGGGAAAAGCUGCCAUUCACUAACUACAUAACAAAGAAAAUUCUGCAUAUCAUGCCAAGACAUUAUACAGUAGGUGGUGUUAACAUAGGAAGCCUUUAUCAUGAGAAGCCAUAACUCCUACGGUGCAUAAGAGUAAGACACUCCCUUUCAACUUUUCCUCUCCAUGGCAGAAGUAUGGAAGAACCUCAAAAGUUUCAUGAGCUCUGGAGAAGACAGCUAUAACUCCAAAAGUGAGAGAAAGUAGAAGACAUGCCAGUGCUCAAAAGCUACAAAUGUAACCAGAGCCGUGGCAUAAAAUGAAAUACUUCUGGUUCAUAUACUUCCACUGAGCAGCAUUGCAUUUUAUACACUUCUUCUUUAAUGGUUCAGACAUAUAGUUCUUAACAUCACAUGGAGACUCAUAACCUUCAGAAUACAGCAUGAAUCAGCUGGCUGCACUGCAAAGAGAAUACAAAAUACCAUCAAGAAUGUCCUAACUGGAACAGUAAACUUUUAAAGUACAAACAACUCAUCUGUUAGCAGCCUGGCAUUUUGCUUUCUGGAAAGUAAAUACAUUAGAGAGAUAUCUUUAAAGAGAGUCUAUUACCUGUGUAAGUCAGCAAUUUUCAAUCAUGACUGUAGCAGAUCCAGGUGAGAGACACUGCGACCUGGCCUUAUAGCAGGACCAAUAAGCAUAAGCAAUCCCUUGGUCCUAAGAUGAAGACUUACUAAUCAUUAGUUCUUGAAUCUAUAACUUCCUUAGGUUAGGUCAGAUUUGUCCUCGCUUACUCAGCUUAUGGGGCGUGGAUUCUUAUAUAGCCAGUCUAUAGAGAGAGUAUCAAUAAAGUCAUAAAUCUGGGGGAAAAAAAAGUCCUCAUUAUCGCACCUGUCUGGUUUUUCAAAAUCUUGCCUAAGGUGGUCUGGUUUGCUGAAGGGUGCUCCAGGAAGUGCAGUCUCCAGGUGUAACAGCCUCCCAAAGAAACAGUCUCUGUUUUGGCUGGAGGAAAUUGUUGAUUUUCCUCUGAAGCCUGGAAUCAGCAGUUCUCUGCUGCUAAAACUCCUGCAGGGUUUUAGGGGCAAGUAGCUACUUUAGAAUUGAGCAGAUGGGGUAAAGGAGAUAAGGAAAUGUAGUUUAGAGAGACUUCCCACGAGAAGGCAUCCUUUUCAUUCCUUAAACUUCCCACCACCACCUCACACACAAGUGAAAAACGGGUGCAGAAGAAUAUACGGGGGAAAAACGGUAAGCUUGGGCAAAGUUCCCUGCAGAGGGAGAAGAAAAAAUAGGAUGAGACUUAAGAAUUUUAUAGUCCUAAACACUGGAAAAAUUAUGGCGAAUUCUUCCCUGCCCCCAAUAAUUAUCAUGUGAAUCAUUUUGAUCUUUAUUUGUUAACAGUAAUAUAUAAAACAUAAUACUUUUUCCAAACAAUUUUGGAUACCAUCAUUUUAUGGUUGUACUAAGGACAGCUAGUCCCCUACAGGAGUCAGAGACUUUAGGAAGUAUUUAAGACCUAAUUCUAUGGUUAUCUUCUCAAAAUAUAGGAUUCCUGGGAGCUAUGACAGGUAAUCUAGCAAAGUGAACUUAUCAGUUAAACUUAAUAGUUAAUUGGCCAGGCACAGUGGCUCACGCCUGUAAUCCUAGCACUUUUGGAGGCCGAGGCAGGAAGAUUACUUGAAGU
RNAcentral lists this long non-coding RNA (2483 nucleotides) under Homo sapiens (human). Its description in RNAcentral is "HSALNT0336573". Lineage: Eukaryota; Metazoa; Chordata; Mammalia; Primates; Hominidae. The record is from RNAcentral.